CAUGUGUAGGAUAGGUGGGAGGCUAUGAAGACGUGACGCCAGUUGCGUUGGAGCCGUCCUUGAAAUACCACCCUUGUAUGUUUGAUGUUCUAACUUAGACCCGUUAUCCGGGUUGAGGACAGUGCCUGGUGGGUAGUUUGACUGGGGCGGUCUCCUCCCAAAGAGUAACGGAGGAGCACGAAGGUGGGCUAAUCACGGUUGGACAUCGUGA
This 211-nucleotide ribosomal RNA is filed under the name Vibrio cholerae. Its description in RNAcentral is "partial 23S ribosomal RNA". It matches the Rfam family "Bacterial large subunit ribosomal RNA", at positions 2133 to 2343 of the family's 2925-position model. Lineage: Bacteria; Pseudomonadati; Pseudomonadota; Gammaproteobacteria; Vibrionales; Vibrionaceae. The record is from RNAcentral.